RNAcentral lists this ribosomal RNA (592 nucleotides) under uncultured bacterium. Its description in RNAcentral is "bacterial SSU rRNA". It matches the Rfam family "Bacterial small subunit ribosomal RNA", at positions 334 to 917 of the family's 1533-position model. The record is from RNAcentral.
UACUCCUACGGGAGGCAGCAGUGGGGAAUAUUGGACAAUGGGCGCAAGCCUGAUCCAGCCAUACCGCGUGGGUGAAGAAGGCCUUCGGGUUGUAAAGUCCUUUUGUUGGGAAAGAAAUCCAGCUGGCUAAUACCCGGUUGGGAUGACGGUACCCAAAGAAUAAGCACCGGCUAACUUCGUGCCAGCAGCCGCGGUAAUACGAAGGGUGCAAGCGUUACUCGGAAUUACUGGGCGUAAAGCGUGCGUAGGUGGUCGUUUAAGUCCGUUGUGAAAGCCCUGGGCUCAACCUGGGAACUGCAGUGGAUACUGGACGACUAGAGUGUGGUAGAGGGUAGCGGAAUUCCUGGUGUAGCAGUGAAAUGCGUAGAGAUCAGGAGGAACAUCCAUGGCGAAGGCAGCUACCUGGACCAACACUGACACUGAGGCACGAAAGCGUGGGGAGCAAACAGGAUUAGAUACCCUGGUAGUCCACGCCCUAAACGAUGCGAACUGGAUGUUGGGUGCAAUUUGGCACGCAGUAUCGAAGCUAACGCGUUAAGUUCGCCGCCUGGGGAGUACGGUCGCAAGACUGAAACUCAAAGGAAUUGACGGA